This 354-nucleotide RNase P RNA is filed under the name Gammaproteobacteria bacterium. RNAcentral describes it as "RNase P RNA component class A". It matches the Rfam family "Bacterial RNase P class A". Rfam says of the family: Ribonuclease P (RNase P) is a ubiquitous endoribonuclease, found in archaea, bacteria and eukarya as well as chloroplasts and mitochondria. Its best characterised activity is the generation of mature 5'-ends of tRNAs by cleaving the 5'-leader elements of precursor-tRNAs. The record is from RNAcentral. Lineage: Bacteria; Pseudomonadati; Pseudomonadota; Gammaproteobacteria.
GAAGUCGGCCGGACAGUCGCCGCGGUGCGGAGGAAAGUCCGGGCUCCGCAGGGCAGGGUGCCAGGUAACGCCUGGGGGACGCGAGUCCACGGAAAGUGCCACAGAAAACAGACCGCCUCGCCGGCCACCGGCGGGGUAAGGGUGAAAAGGUGCGGUAAGAGCGCACCGCGUCGGUGGUAACACCGGCGGCACGGCAAACCCCAACCCGGAGCAAGACCAAAUAAGGGAGCACGUCCCACGGGACGCGCGUGGCCCGCGCGGGCUCCCGGGUAGGUCGCUAGAGGUGUGCGGUGACGCACAUCCCAGAUGAAUGGCUGUCCUAGACAGAACCCGGCUUACAGGCCGGCUUCCACU